AGCGAACGUUAGCGGCGGGCCUAACACAUGCAAGUCGAGCGAGAAAGGGGCUUCGGCCCUGAGUAAAGCGGCGGACGGGUGAGUAACACGUAGGUAAUCUUCCUUCGAGCGGGGGACAACGGUCCGACAGGACCGCUAAUACCGCGUACGUUCCCGAGGACCCUGGUCCUUGGGAGGAAAGCUAGGUCGCAAGAUCCGGCCACCGGAGAGGAGCCGGCGUCGCACCAGCUAGUUGGUGGGGUAAUGGCCUACCAAGGCGAAGACGCGUAGCUGGUCUGAGAGGAUGAUCAGCCACACUGGGACUGAGACACGGCCCAGACUCCUACGGGAGGAAGCAGUGGGGAAUAUUGGACAAUGGGCGCAAGCCUGAUCCAGCCACGCCGCGUGAGUGAUGAAGGCCUUCGGGUCGUAAAGCUCUGUGGGGAGGGACGAACCGCUGCACGUGCAUAGCGUGCAGCAUGACGGUACCUCCUUAGCAAGCACCGGCUAACUUCGUGCCAGCCGCCGCCGUAA
RNAcentral lists this ribosomal RNA (513 nucleotides) under uncultured bacterium. RNAcentral's name for it is "partial 16S ribosomal RNA". It matches the Rfam family "Bacterial small subunit ribosomal RNA", at positions 29 to 523 of the family's 1533-position model. The record is from RNAcentral.